This 252-nucleotide ribosomal RNA is filed under the name uncultured bacterium. RNAcentral's name for it is "partial 16S ribosomal RNA". It matches the Rfam family "Bacterial small subunit ribosomal RNA", at positions 524 to 776 of the family's 1533-position model. The record is from RNAcentral.
UACGAGGGGGGCAAAUGUUGUUCGGAAUCACUGGGCGUAAAGGGAGCGUAGGCGGGUUUUUAAGUCAGGUGUUUAAUCCCGGGGCCCAACCCCGGACAGGCACUUGAAACUGGGAAUCUUGAAUAGUGGAGAGGUCAGUGGAAUUGGGGGUGUAGCGGUGGAAUGCGUAGAGAUCCCCAAGAACACCCGUUGCGAAGGCGGCUGACUGGACACAUAUUGACGCUGAGGUGCGAAAGCGUGGGAGCAAACAGG